RNAcentral lists this long non-coding RNA (273 nucleotides) under Elaeis guineensis (African oil palm). Its description in RNAcentral is "long non-coding RNA (EGUI_LNC012048)". Lineage: Eukaryota; Viridiplantae; Streptophyta; Magnoliopsida; Arecales; Arecaceae. The record is from RNAcentral.
GAUCUUAAAUCUUCAUUUGCAUUGUCUGGAGCCCAAGGAGCCUUAGAGGUUUUACUGAGGAGCACUUUAUUUUCAUCAUCUUUAGAUUUGCUGAAACUAAAAAAAAGUCUAUCUACUCUUGCUGAGUCGACCCUGGCACUUUAUCCCUUCAAAUGAAGUAGACGUCAUACUGACUAAGAAAACUAAACUAGAAGAGAAAAGAAAUCAGCUUCAACAAAAACUUCAACAUGCCAUCGAUGACUCUGAAAGAUGGAUGAACCAACUAUGGGAGAA